Ovis aries (sheep) is the source of this 73-nucleotide non-coding RNA. Lineage: Eukaryota; Metazoa; Chordata; Mammalia; Artiodactyla; Bovidae. The record is from Rfam.
UCCCUAAUAGCUCAGUUGGUAAAGAAUCUGCCUGCAAUGCAGGAGACCCCGGUUCUAUUUCUGGGUUGGGAAG